GUGCUCAUUUCAGCAGCACAUAUACUAAAAUUAGACUGAUACAGAGAGGAUUAGCAUGGCCCCUGCGCAAAGAUGACACGCAAAUUCAUGAAGCAUUUCAUUAAGAA
Rhinopithecus bieti (black snub-nosed monkey) is the source of this 107-nucleotide small nuclear RNA. Lineage: Eukaryota; Metazoa; Chordata; Mammalia; Primates; Cercopithecidae. The record is from Ensembl.